GACGAACGCUGGCGGCGUGCUUAACACAUGCAAGUCGAACGGAAAGGCCCUGCUCUUGUGGGGUGCUCGAGUGGCGAACGGGUGAGUAACACGAGAGUAACCUGCCCUUGACUUUGGGAUAACUUAAGGAAACUGGGGCUAAUACCGGAUAGGAGCUCCUGCUGCAUGGUGGGGGUUGGAAAGUUUCGGCGGUUGGGGAUGGACUCGCGGCGUAUCAGCUUGUUGGUGGGGUAGUGGCUUACCAAGGCUUUGACGGGUAGCCGGCCUGAGAGGGUGACCGGCCAGAUUGGGACUGAGAUACGGCCCAGACUCGUACGGGAGGCAGCAGUGGGGAAUAUUGCACAAUGGGCGGAAGCCUGAUGCAGCAACGCCGCGUGCGGGAUGACGGCCUUCGGGUUGUAAACCGCUUUCGCCUGUGACGAAGCGUGAGUGACGGUAAUGGGUAAAGAAGCACCGGCUAACUACGUG
This 468-nucleotide ribosomal RNA is filed under the name uncultured bacterium. RNAcentral's name for it is "partial 16S ribosomal RNA". It matches the Rfam family "Bacterial small subunit ribosomal RNA", at positions 28 to 507 of the family's 1533-position model. The record is from RNAcentral.